GCUGGGCAUGGUGGCGCGUGCCUGUAAUCCCAGCUACUCAGGAGGCUGAGGCAGGAGAAUUGCCUGAACCCAGGAGGCGGAGGUUGCGGUGAGCCGAGAUCGCGCCAUUGCACUCCAGCCUGGGUAACAAGAGCUGGCUUUAUGUUUUACGUUCUUAACCCCUUUAACUUUUCUUUAAACAGAGAAUUGUUUUUUUCCUUGGAGACAGAGUUUUACUUUUGUCACCCAGGCUGGAGUGUAGUGGUGCGAUCUUGACUUAAUGCUACCUCCGCCCUCCUGGGUUCAAGCAAUUCUCCUGCCUCA
This 303-nucleotide signal recognition particle RNA is filed under the name Saimiri boliviensis boliviensis (Bolivian squirrel monkey). RNAcentral's name for it is "Metazoan signal recognition particle RNA (ENSSBOG00000002389.1)". It matches the Rfam family "Metazoan signal recognition particle RNA". From Rfam's summary of the family: The signal recognition particle (SRP) is a universally conserved ribonucleoprotein. It is involved in the co-translational targeting of proteins to membranes. Lineage: Eukaryota; Metazoa; Chordata; Mammalia; Primates; Cebidae. The record is from RNAcentral.